AUUCCGUAGGUGAACCUGCGGAAGGAUCAUUAUUGUGUAACCGAGGUGCGAGGGCUGUCGCUGACCCGAAAGGUCGUGCACGCCCGAGUGCCCUCACACACAUCCAUCUCACCCCUAUGUGCACCACCGCGUGGGUCCCCCUUUGGCUUGUUCGGAGGGGGGCUUACGUUUUCACACAAACUUUGUAUGCAGUGUAGAAUGUAUUUUUUGUUUUUGCGAUCACGCAAUCAAUACAACUUUCAACAACGGAUCUCUUGGCUCUC
This 263-nucleotide unclassified non-coding RNA is filed under the name plant metagenome. RNAcentral's name for it is "partial contains small subunit ribosomal RNA, internal transcribed spacer 1, and 5.8S ribosomal RNA". The record is from RNAcentral.